UAACGUUUUGAAAAGAACGCUAAUACCGCAUAACAUAUCGGAACCGCAUGAUUCUGAUAUCAAAGGAGCAAUCCGCUGAGAGAUGGGCUCGCGUCCGAUUAGUUAGUUGGUGAGGUAACGGCUCACCAAGACUACGAUCGGUAGCCGGACUGAGAGGUUGAUCGGCCACAUUGGGACUGAGACACGGCCCAGACUCCUACGGGAGGCAGCAGUGGGGGAUAUUGCGCAAUGGGGGAAACCCUGACGCAGCAACGCCGCGUGAAGGAAGAAGGUCUUCGGAUUGUAAACUUCUUUUGUCAGGGACGAAGAAAGUGACGGUACCUGACGAAUAAGCUCCGGCUAACUACGUGCCAGCAGCCGCGGUAAUACGUAGGGAGCGAGCGUUGUCCGGAUUUACUGGGUGUAAAGGGUACGUAGGCGGCCGAGCAAGUCAGUUGUGAAAACUAUGGGCUUAACCCAUAACGUGCAAUUGAAACUGUCCGGCUUGAGUGAAGUAGAGGUAGGCGGAAUUCCCGGUGUAGCGGUGAAAUGCGUAGAGAUCGGGAGGAACACCAGUGGCGAAGGCGGCCUACUGGGCUUUAACUGACGCUGAGGCACGAAAGCAUGGGUAGCAAACAGGAUUAGAUACCCUGGUAGUCCAUGCCGU
RNAcentral lists this ribosomal RNA (646 nucleotides) under uncultured bacterium. Its description in RNAcentral is "bacterial SSU rRNA". It matches the Rfam family "Bacterial small subunit ribosomal RNA", at positions 144 to 803 of the family's 1533-position model. The record is from RNAcentral.